This 483-nucleotide ribosomal RNA is filed under the name uncultured bacterium. RNAcentral describes it as "SSU rRNA". It matches the Rfam family "Bacterial small subunit ribosomal RNA", at positions 26 to 517 of the family's 1533-position model. The record is from RNAcentral.
AGGAUGAACGCUGGCGGCGUGCCUAACACAUGCAAGUCGAACGUCCUGUCUCGCAAGAGGCAGGGAGUGGCGGACGGGUGAGUACCACGUGGGUCAUCUACCGUGAGGUGAGGAAUACCGGCGAGAAAUCGUCGACAAGACCGCAUAGGCUCGAUGCAAGUCGAGCAAAGCUCUCUCGAGAGAGGGAGCGCCACACGAGGAGCCUGCGCCCGAUUAGCUAGCUGGUGGAGUAACGGUUCACCAGGGCGACGAUCGGUAGCUGGUCUGAGAGGACGAUCAGCCACACUGGGAUUGAGAACGGCCCAGACUCCUACGGGGGGCAGCAGUGAGGAAUUUUUGCACAAUGGACGAAAGUCUGAUGCAGCAACGCCGCGUGGGGGAUGAAGCUUCUCGGAGUGUAAACCCCUUUCGACCCGGACGAAUGCCCGCAAGGGUUUGACGGUACGGGUAUAAGAAGCCCGGCUAACUACGCGCCAGCAGCCG